RNAcentral lists this transfer-messenger RNA (380 nucleotides) under Bacilli. RNAcentral describes it as "UMGS872 sp900546275 Standard tmRNA". It matches the Rfam family "transfer-messenger RNA". Rfam says of the family: Bacterial tmRNA, also known as 10Sa RNA or SsrA, is named for its dual tRNA and mRNA-like properties. Its role is to liberate the mRNA from a stalled ribosome. Lineage: Bacteria; Bacillati; Bacillota. The record is from RNAcentral. RNAcentral also lists the same sequence under 1 other name.
GGGGCUGCUUGGUUUCGACAGAUAUACUUUGAUAUAAGUAGCAAGUCGCUUUGUACACGUUACGUACAAAACAGAAAAUAACUGGAAAAAAUUUAAAAGACCGUAUUGCUUCAAUGUUUACUAAAAACGUUGUUGCCUUUGCCUAAUUUAGAAUAAGGAAUACGACUUUCUUUAAUUUCUCUCCUAUGGAAAUUAUUGAAGGUUCGAUUUAAUGGGAUAUAUUGUUAUGAUGCUUAUAAGUAGCAAUGAAUAUUUUAAGCUUACUAAUAAUAGUGUUGUUAGUUACUUAUAUUAUUAGGAAAUUUAUUAACUAAAUAAGCUUGUAGAAACUUAUAUUUGGGAAUAUUUGGACAGGAGUUCGAUUCUCCUCAGCUCCACCA